Molecule: ribosomal RNA, 292 nt
Filed under: uncultured bacterium
Lineage: Bacteria
Description: partial 16S ribosomal RNA
Rfam family: Bacterial small subunit ribosomal RNA
Source: RNAcentral
GUGUCAGCCGCCGCGGUAAUACAGAGGUGGCAAGCGUUGUUCGGAUUUACUGGGCGUAAAGGGUGCGUAGGAGGUCGUGUGUGUCGGAUGUGAAAUCUUGCUGUUCAUCGGCAAAACUGCAUUCGAAACUACACGACUAGAGUGCAGGAGAGGAGAGCGGAAUUCUCGGUGUAGCGGUGAAAUGCGUUGAUAUCGAGAGGAACGCCGGUGGUGAAGACGGCUCUCUGGACUGUAACUGACUCUGAGGCACGAAAGCUAGGGGAGCAAACAGGAUUAGAUACCCCGGUAGUCC